RNAcentral lists this ribosomal RNA (320 nucleotides) under uncultured Prevotella sp. Its description in RNAcentral is "bacterial SSU rRNA". It matches the Rfam family "Bacterial small subunit ribosomal RNA", at positions 28 to 339 of the family's 1533-position model. Lineage: Bacteria; Pseudomonadati; Bacteroidota; Bacteroidia; Bacteroidales; Prevotellaceae. The record is from RNAcentral.
GAUGAACGCUAGCUACAGGCUUAACACAUGCAAGUCGAGGGGCAUCAUUAUCGAAGCUUGCUUUGAUAGAUGGCGACCGGCGCACGGGUGAGUAACGCGUAUCCAACCUUCCCUAUACUAGAGGAUAGCCCGGCGAAAGUCGGAUUAAUACUCUAUGUUCUUCGUAGAAGACAUCUGAAAUGAAGCAAAGGUUUACCGGUAUAGGAUGGGGAUGCGUCUGAUUAGGUUGUUGGCGGGGUAACGGCCCACCAAGCCCACGAUCAGUAGGGGUUCUGAGAGGAAGGUCCCCCACAUUGGAACUGAGACACGGUCCAAACUCC